RNAcentral lists this ribosomal RNA (401 nucleotides) under uncultured bacterium. Its description in RNAcentral is "bacterial SSU rRNA". It matches the Rfam family "Bacterial small subunit ribosomal RNA", at positions 29 to 416 of the family's 1533-position model. The record is from RNAcentral.
AAUCAACGCUGGCGGCGUGCCUAAUACAUGCAAGUCGAACGCGAAAGUCCCGCAAGGGAUGAGUAGAGUGGCAAACGGGUGAGUAACGCGUGGGUGACCUGCCUUCGAGUGGGGGAUAACGUCCCGAAAGGGACGCUAAUACCGCAUGACAUCCUGCCUUUGAACAGGCGGAGAUCAAAGCCGGGGACCGCAAGGCCUGGCGCUUGAAGGAGGGGCCCGCGUCCGAUUAGCUAGUUGGGGGGUAACGGCUCACCAAGGCAUCGAUCGGUAGCCGGCCUGAGAGGGCGGACGGCCACACUGGGACUGAGACACGGCCCAGACUCCUACGGGAGGCAGCAGUAGGGAAUUGUUCGCAAUGGGCGCAAGCCUGACGACGCAACGCCGCGUGGAGGAUGAAGGCC